RNAcentral lists this ribosomal RNA (468 nucleotides) under uncultured bacterium. Its description in RNAcentral is "partial 16S ribosomal RNA". It matches the Rfam family "Bacterial small subunit ribosomal RNA", at positions 28 to 507 of the family's 1533-position model. The record is from RNAcentral.
GACGAACGCUGGCGGCGUGCUUAACACAUGCAAGUCGAACGGAAAGGCCCUGCUUUUGUGGGGUGCUCGAGUGGCGAACGGGUGAGUAACACGUGAGUAACCUGCCCUUGACUUUGGGAUAACUUCAGGAAACUGGGGCUAAUACCGGAUAGGAGCUCCUGCUGCAUGGUGGGGGUUGGAAAGUUUCGGCGGUUGGGGAUGGACUCGCGGCUUAUCAGCUUGUUGGUGGAGUAGUGGCUUACCAAGGCUUUGACGGGUAGCCGGCCUGAGAGGGUGACCGGCCACAUGGGGACUGAGAUACGGCCCAGUGGGCUACGGGAGGCAGCAGGGGGGAAUAUGGCACAAUGGGCGGAAGCCUGAUGCAGCAACGCUGCGUGCGGGAUGACGGCCUUCGGGUUGUAAACCGCUUUCGCCUGUGACGAAGCGUGAGUGACGGUAAUGGGUAAAGAAGCACCGGCUAACUACGUG